GUCUGUGGCCAUACCACCCUGAAUGUGCCCGAUCUUGUCUGAUCUCAGAAGCUAAACAGCGUUGGGCCUGGUUUGUACUUGGAUGGGAGACCACCUGGGAAUACCCGGUGAUGCAGACU
Molecule: ribosomal RNA, 119 nt
Organism: Aotus nancymaae (Ma's night monkey)
Lineage: Eukaryota; Metazoa; Chordata; Mammalia; Primates; Aotidae
Source: Ensembl